RNAcentral lists this ribosomal RNA (433 nucleotides) under uncultured bacterium. RNAcentral's name for it is "partial 16S ribosomal RNA". It matches the Rfam family "Bacterial small subunit ribosomal RNA", at positions 29 to 507 of the family's 1533-position model. The record is from RNAcentral.
AACGAACGCUGGCGGCAUGCCUAACACAUGCAAGUCGAACGAGACCUUCGUGUCUACUUGCGCUCGCGUGUGUCACGCGUCGGAACCUUCCUUUAGGCUCGGAAUUCUUCAUUGUAAUUUGAGCUAAUACCGGAUGAUUUCUUCUGACCAAAGAUUUGUCGUCCUUGGAUGGGCACGCGUUGUUCUAGCUUGUUGGUGGGGUAUGGGCCUACCAAGGCUACGAUCCAUAGCUGGGUAGAGAGGAUGAGCAGCGACACUGAGACUGAGACACGGCCCAGAAUACUACGGGAGGCAGGAGUGGGGAAUAUUGGAAAAUGGGCGAAAGGAUGAACCAGCUAUGCCGCGUGAGUGAUGAAGGCGUUAGGGAAGUAAAGCACUUUUACCCGAGAUGAUAAUGACAGUAUCGGGAGAAUAAGCACCGGCUAACUCCGUG